RNAcentral lists this ribosomal RNA (376 nucleotides) under uncultured cyanobacterium. RNAcentral's name for it is "bacterial SSU rRNA". It matches the Rfam family "Bacterial small subunit ribosomal RNA", at positions 405 to 795 of the family's 1533-position model. Lineage: Bacteria; Bacillati; Cyanobacteriota. The record is from RNAcentral.
GGGAAGAAGGCCUCUGGGCUGUAAACCUCUUUUCUCAAGGAAGAAGAUCUGACGGUACUUGAGGAAUAAGCCACGGCUAAUUCCGUGCCAGCAGCCGCGGUAAUACGGGAGUGGCAAGCGUUAUCCGGAAUUAUUGGGCGUAAAGCGUCCGCAGGCGGCCUUUCAAGUCUGCUGUUAGAGCGUGGAGCUUAACUCCAUUAAGGCAGUGGAAACUGUUGGGCUUGAGUGUGGUAGGGGCAGAGGGAAUUCCCGGCGUAGCGGUGAAAUGCGUAGAUAUCGGGAAGAACACCAGUGGCGAAGGCGCUCUGCUGGGCCAUAACUGACGCUCAUGGACGAAAGCCAGGGGNAGCGAAAGGGAUUAGAUACCCCUGUAGUC